GCCCAUGUAUUGUCUUGCCGGACGCAAGGGACUUAAAAUCCCUCGGGAGUAAUCCUGUACCGGUUCAAGUCCGGUCCCGGGCA
Molecule: transfer RNA, 83 nt
Filed under: Deferribacteraceae bacterium
Lineage: Bacteria; Pseudomonadati; Deferribacterota; Deferribacteres; Deferribacterales; Deferribacteraceae
Description: tRNA-OTHER
Source: RNAcentral